Molecule: long non-coding RNA, 200 nt
Filed under: Homo sapiens (human)
Lineage: Eukaryota; Metazoa; Chordata; Mammalia; Primates; Hominidae
Description: non-protein coding lnc-MKI67-2:1
Source: RNAcentral
UUUCUUUUUUCUGGCACAUGGCUUAAUCGUUACACUCUGUGAGUCCUCAAGGACCCUCGCAGUUUCAACAUUUUGCGAAAUAUUCUCAAGCUUUAUGGCACCUUGGAAGAAACAAAAGCUUUACAGAGAAAAGGCUGGCUUGGCAGAGGGACCGGCUCCCUCCUCAAAUUACGGUUCUAUGUUCUGGUGCUUUGCUUUUU